Molecule: long non-coding RNA, 4432 nt
Filed under: Fragaria vesca (wild strawberry)
Lineage: Eukaryota; Viridiplantae; Streptophyta; Magnoliopsida; Rosales; Rosaceae
Description: long non-coding RNA (FVES_LNC003225)
Source: RNAcentral
CUGCUUCUUCUUGCAAAGACUGACUUGUGUAAUGCAAUAUUAUUUUCACCGCGCUCCAUAGCUUUGCAAUUGUCUGAUGAGUUUCCAAUUCGCUCCUAUAUACAACAUGGGGAACAAUUGAGUAAUAGAUAGUAGAUGAAUUAACGAGCAACAUUGAAUGAGUUUUAAAGAUAUGAUAAAUGGGCUCUAAUGUUGAUAGAAGAACUGACAAUAGUGAAAAAUGAGUAUAGGAGAAAUGGAGAAGCUGCCUACUAGUUUAUUUAUUUUUUAUUUCCUAGUAUGGGUAAUGGCUGCACAAGUAAAUAUACCUCUACUUGAGGGUUUUUUUCUCCCAAAAACUGUAUAGGCUGGAGCCUAUACAGCCUAAAGACUUCUAUCCGCCCAUGUCUCAGCCUUGAUUCAAAUUAAUAUUUUAAACAAGAUGAGCGGUAAUUUUAGAUCGAAGAAGGGUACGAAGGGCCAAAGGUCCGAAUCGUCUGAGGGAACCUCUAGCAACCCUCAAACGUCGUUUCGGGACCCCAUGACAGCCAGACGUGCCACCCUUCUAGAGACGGCGCAGAGGCAGCCGAGCGUUUCCCAUUCCUCGAGGUAGCUGGAGGUGCCCCCUUCAUCGAGGCAGCCGAGCGUCCGUCAUUCCUUGAGGCAGCUGUGGCCUCAGACCUAGACGGAGGUGUCUGCACCCCGUAUGCCUGAGAUACACCGGGUGCCCACUCCGGGUCCUACUGCUUCGGAUGGUGGGUCAUCUGGGGUACAGAUGCCGCCGCCUCAUCUGUUCCUUAGGCGGAUGAUACUGGCCUUACCUGCAGUCGAUGACUCAGGGACGCCGAUUUAUCCACUACCCCCGCCAGUGCUCCAUCAGCGGCGUACCGGUUCGUGCCUUUUGAUACGCUCUUAUCUCCGCGAGGGUGUCAUCAUCGGCGACGGAGACGGAAUCCGUCGAGUCCGCCGCAUCGCCCUCAGGUAAUGAAAGAUGAAUGAUUUGUUUUCUUAUAAUUAAUAAUAAAGGGUCUUCGAUUUUAAUAAUCAAUUUGAUUUAUCAUGUGAUAGGCAUUGUCGGAGUGAAGCCGACAAAGAAGAAGAGAGGCCUCGUCACAGGGAAGGCUUUCGAGAAGUAUUGAUGGGGAUGGCCAUAUAGUAUCGGGCGGGAAGUCGAGGACGUACUCCGGCUGCGUGGGAGCGCUCAUUAGGGAUAGAGUCCCUAUGUUGUGGUCAGACUGGGGCGAGGUCCCACAGGAGGUUAAGGACAUGGUCCACAACGCGAUGUCAGUGAGUUUACAAAAUGCCUCAAUAAUAUUAUGUAUUACAUUGUUGAUUUCUCGAAAAACUAAACUAAUAAACGGUUAAAUGCAGGUGUGGUUUGACGUUCCCGAGCACCUGAAGAACAGCUGGGCGGACGUUGUGCAUGGGGGAAGAUACGUUGGGAAGUUAAUGAAAAAACAAAACUGUAUGUGAUAUUAAUAAUAUUUCUAAUAUUUUUGUUGUAUCUGUAGUUACAAGGAGUGGAAGAACGAGUUGCGGACCCACUAGGCUACGCACGGGAACGCACGUUCUGGUACCCCUGCUGAGUUUCAGUAUAGGGAGUACGAGUGGCGUUGGCUUCUGACAUCAGAAUUCAACAACCCUCAUAAACAGGUAUUUAAAAAAAUUAAUUAGUUAAUUUGUCAUUAAGCACGUCCGUUUUUAAAUAUUUUACUAAUAGUUUAUUUUUGGACUAAUUUUAGUUUACCCCUAUCAACUUUAGGUCGAUCAUCAUGUUAGUCCGUAUUCUUUCAAUUUCAUCAAAAACACCCCUCAACUCCCAAUUUUCAUCAGCCGCGCAUGUCCAAACCUCCAAUCUUCAUCCAAUUCCUCUGUCAAGUGAUGACUUGAUAUCAAGAAGAAUGUCAAAUUCUGAAAGUUCCCUUUCGGACCAUUUUUCCCCCAUAUCGAUACACAUCUUCGUUCCCAUCACAUCCCCCUAACUUUAGUGAUUUUGGUGGGAUUGAAUGCAAUUUGUCUAUUUUUCCUUUUUUCUUUCUUCUUGAUAUCAAGUCAUCACUUGACAGAGGAAUUGGAUGGAGAUUGGAGGUUUGGACAUGCGUGGCUGAUGAAAAUUAGGAGGUGUUUUUGAUGAAAUUGAAAGAAGAAGGACUAACAUGAUGAUCGACCUAAAGUUGAUGGGGGUAAACUGAAAUUAGUCCUUUAUUUUUUCUUUGAAUGUCGUUUCCCGGGCGAACGCUCAGAACCGACAACGCAACACAAGGAACCAUCAUGCUGGUUCUAGACCGUUCGCUGUCUUCAUGGACGAGGCGGCCAGGGAACAUCCAGAAGUCAACCGGUACGUCUAUACGUAUGAGAAGGCAUAUCCUGACGCCCAGGAGGAUAUUGUAAGUCAUCUUACGUUUUUAAAUUUUAAAUUUUACUUAUAUAUAUAUGUCAAAAUGGUAAUUAAUCAUUUUUUUCCUAUCCAAUUAGGCGAAUGUGAGGGAGGCUAGUGACGAGGUGAUGAGUGCUAUAGUGAGGGAGGCAUGGCCGGACACGCAGGAGGAAGAGAUGUCUGAAGCCAUGUCCCGGAUCAACACUUCAAAUCCGAGGGUUAGGGCGAGGAUCAUGGGCACAGCCUUCUCACCGCGAGGAAACAACUUCUAUUGCCGGGGUCUAGGAAAUAAGGGCGAGAGGGUCCUGAAGACCACUCCAGGAUUUCAACGAAAGGCAGCCUCGACCAGCAGCAGGACGACUCAGCUAGAGUCGAAAGUUGAGAGACUAUAGGAACAGCAAGCUGCUCAGGCUGCCGCUCAUGAGGCCCAGAUCGCCCCCUAGACAACCUAUACUGCCGCGCAGACGGCCUAUACUUCCGCGGUAUUUGCCACCCAGCAGGCCCAGCAGCAGCAGAUGUUCCAGUACUUGCAGGAGUUUACAGCUGCCCAGCUUCAGGGAUUUCCGGCUCCGCCCAUGCCUACGCCUAUACCGUUACCUCAGCAGCCGCAACCUCCUUCGCAGCAGCCCCCAGAAUCGGAUCUUGAUUUAGACGAUCUAGAUUUUGUGUAGUUGAUCAAUUAUAUAGUUUUAUGUGCUUGUUGUUGGUUAUAUGGAAUUGUUUUGGUGUAUUUUGCAGUUUGCUUGGAAUGGUAAUUUAGAAAUUUCAGGUUUUUUGUUUUACUGGAAUGGACUUAUAACCGAUGAAACAUGUAAGAUAUUCGUCGGUUAUAGUAUUUUUAAUUUUUUUUAUAAGGUUUAGCUGACGAAUUACGGCAUGGUUCGUCGGGGGCUAAACUUUUCUAAAGCCGACGAAACAGACUAUAUUUCGUUGGUUAUAGUUAUUUUUUUAAUUUUUUUAUUACAUACUUUAACCGACGAAUAUCUUAAAUAUUUUGUCAGCUAAAGUCUUAGACUACGGUUGACGAAACAUUUAAGAUAUUCGUCGGCUUAAUUCUGAGACAAUAGCCGAUGACGUCUUUUUCGUCGGCUAAAUUCUGAGACAAUAGCCGACGACGUCUUCUUGUUUCGUCUGCUAAAGUCAUUGUCGACGACUCUUUCCUGACAAAACCAUAACCGACGAAUUUAUCUAACAGGCCGACGAAACUAUAUUUAAUUGCUUGUCUUGGUAGUGUUUCCUAUGAUGUUAGCAUUCAGCAAAAACAUAAAACUCUAAAUUGAAAGUCAAUAUUUCCCCCACAUGUAAAGUUUGAGGUGUUACAAGUAUAUAUUUAAUUUAUUUACGGUUUCGUUUCUGGACAUUUUCGACACGUUUUUUUGGCUUUUUCCGACGCUUUUUCAAGAACAGAUUAUGAACCUUCAUGGCUUCUACUACGCUGGGUAUGGACGGGAACGGCCUUAAUGGUUGGAAGCAGCCGGACACGACCUGGUAUUUAUCCAUAAAUAAUAAUAGGAUACUUGGGGACAAUUCUGACUUUGCAACCCUGGUGUUCUAGCGCGCCUCAAGCGGUUAUUUGGAGGAUUCUUAACACACACCGGUUUGCAGUCAGCCAUGGAGAGUUUAUCUGCAGGAGUUCGUAUGCUUUGUUGGCCAUUCUAUGCAGAACAACACACAAAUAAUUAAGUAGUGUGCUUGUAAGAAAUGGGGAAUCGGGAUGGAGAUUAGUAACGACGUGAAGAGAGAAGAAGUAAAAAGCUAGCCUUGUCAAGGAGUUAGUGGAGGGAGAUCCAAGGGUAAGGAAAUGAAAGCUAAGGCCAUGGAGUGGAAGACACUUGCAGAAGAAGCCACAGCUCCACAUGGUUCUUCAUCCUCAAACUUUAACUACAUAGUGAAUCAACUAUGACCAAGGACGUACAGACAUUCUUCAUCUUAUUCUUGUCUAUCUAUCUUAACAACUAAAUGUAGUUGCAUUCACUGAUGAUGACUAUUCUUGACUCAAUAAGCAGGAUUUCUUAAUCCAGUUUAUCUCAAUGCUCUAUAUAUAUUUGUACAAAUAAUAACAGAACUCUUAGACGU